UUGAUCCCGCCAGAGGUUACUGCUAUCGGAGUUCGAUUAAGCCAUGCGAGUCUAAAGGUUUCUUUCGAGAAACCUUGGCGGACUGCUCAGUAACACGUGGAUAACCUACCCUUGGGACUGGAAUAACCCCGGGAAACUGGGGAUAAUACCGGAUAGAUCAGGGAUGCUGGAAUGCACCUUGAUCCAAAGCUCCGGCGCCCAAGGAUGGGUCUGCGGUCUAUCAGGUUGUAGUGGGUGUAACGUACCUACUAGCCGACGACGGGUACGGGUUGUGAGAGCAAGAGCCCGGAGAUGGAUUCUGAGACACGAAUCCAGGCCCUACGGGGUGCAGCAGGCGCGAAAUCUUUACAAUGUGCGAAAGCAUGAUAAGGGAACUCCGAGUGCCAGUAUCUAAUACUGGCUGUCCUUGUGCCUAAAGCGCACAAGAUAGCAAGGGCCGGGUAAGACCGGUGCCAGCCGCCGCGGUAACACCGGCGGCCCGAGUGGUAGCCGCUAUUAUUGGGUCUAAAGGGUCCGUAGCCGGUUCGAUAAGUCCUCUGGGAAAUCUGGUUGCUUAACAAUCAGACUGCCAAGGGAUACUGUCGAACUUGAGACCGGGAGAGGUAAGAGGUACUUCAGGGGUAGGAGUGAAAUCUUGUAAUCCCU
This 645-nucleotide ribosomal RNA is filed under the name uncultured archaeon. RNAcentral describes it as "bacterial SSU rRNA". It matches the Rfam family "Archaeal small subunit ribosomal RNA", at positions 8 to 650 of the family's 1478-position model. The record is from RNAcentral.